AGAGUUUGAUCCUGGCUCAGGAUGAACGUUGGCGGCAUGCCUAACACAUGCAAGUCGAACGCAAGGNUUCGGCCUUGAGUGGCGCACGGGUGCGUAACACGUAGGUGACCUGGCCUGUAGUGGGGGAUAACCCUCGGAAACGAGGGCUAAUACCGCAUAAGCUUCUGCCGUUUUGAAAGGCAGAAGGAAAGCUUUAUGUGCUACAGGGGGGGCCUGCGGCCUAUCAGGUAGUUGGUGGGGUAACGGCCUACCAAGCCGACGACGGGUAGCUGACCUGAGAGGGUGGUCAGCCACAGGGGAACUGAGAUACGGUCCCCACUCCUACGGGAGGCAGCAGUGAGGAAUAUUGGUCAAUGGGGGCAACCCUGAACCAGCAAUGCCGCGUGCGGGAGGACGGCCUUCGGGUUGUAAACCGCUUUUAUGAGGGAGGAGCAAGGACCGUACCUCAUGAACAAGUCACGGCUAACUACGUGCCAGCAGCCGCGGUAAUACGUAGGUGGCGAACGUUAUCCGGAAUUACUGGGCGUAAAGGGUCCGCAGGCGGGUGUUUAAGUCUGACGUGAAAGCUCCCGGCUCAACUGGGAGAGGACGUUGGAAACUGGACGCCUUGAAUCUGACAGAGGUCGGUGGAAUUCCCGGUGUAGUGGUGGAAUGCGUAGAGAUCGGGAGGAACCUCGAAAGCGAAGGCAACCGGCUAGGUCGAGAUUGACGCUGAGGGACGAGAGCGUGGGGAGCGAACAGGAUUAGAUACCCCAGUAGUCC
RNAcentral lists this ribosomal RNA (762 nucleotides) under uncultured Chloroflexota bacterium. Its description in RNAcentral is "bacterial SSU rRNA". It matches the Rfam family "Bacterial small subunit ribosomal RNA", at positions 8 to 796 of the family's 1533-position model. Lineage: Bacteria; Bacillati; Chloroflexota. The record is from RNAcentral.